CGGUCACGUUACUAACUUAACUCUUUAAUUAUUUUUAUAAUUAUUUUCCUUCGCUCUCCCAUUUAAAUUCUCUAAUUCCUCGUAUAGGACCACUGACGUGACGUCAUACCUCGGUGAUGGAACAUACUCCACCUAUCGAGAAUUAUUUCGCGUUCGGUGAGUUUGACGUCGUACUCUUGGAAGGAGAGACGAAUGUUCAUCACUUGACCUGUGGCUGUAGGUGAAGUUGGUUGCUACCAUAGAAUAUUAGAAUGGCGGUUGGUUUUUUAUUUUAUAACAUCAGUGAAAAGAAAAAAAAUUACCACAAAUGGUUUUCUACAGUAGGGUGGCAUGUGGGUAGAACAACCCCUCUUGGAAUCGGAAUAGAAAUCACCGCCAUUUUGGAGUAACCACAUGGUGAACUCAUAGCCCUUUGACACCUAGGGAAACCACUACAGCCACAGUCAAGUCACCUUGGGAAUAUGUCUAAUUGGGAGCAAGCUAUGGGAGCGUUCCAGCUCAAUUUUCGUCUUGGCACCUGGGCCUACAGGAGCCAUGGGGUCGCACCAUCCUGGUGCAUCAUUUUCUAGGAGGCAACCGCAACCUCGUUUGGGAACAUUUAGUGAGGUGUUUUAGUAACUAUUGGUUUUUUUUAUAUUUCAGACUAUCUGUUAAAUACACUAUGUUUUUUUUCAGAUUUAGGUUACCUCUGGUUUUUUUUGACAUAUUUGUAUAUUAGAUUAUUUGGUUCCCAAACUUUGUAUCUACGGUAACUUCUUGUGCACAGGAAUAAGCCUAGAGAAAAUUAGGUUUUUAAUACUUUAUUAUUGCUUUGAUAUUGGUUUAUGUAAUUCGGGUAAAUUUAUUUUGUAAUAUUACUAGCUUGUUUCCCAAAUAUUUUACUGUUAUUCGCUUUAUUCCGUUUGUUCGGUUAAUUUAGGUCAUCGUCGGUAUUUAUCUCAACUUCAUUUCUACUUUAUUCAUUGUAUAUCUAACUUUGCUUAAUUCAUUUAGUAUUUUCCCUUAGUUAGGCUCAUGCCUAUUUACAUAAAUAUAUUUAUUUAUAUUACUUUUAAUAUUCAUCGGUUUUCCUUUAGUUGUACGUAGCGGGCGUACUAUAACCAUUUGGUAGAAGACUUAUGUAAUUUUGUACCCUAUAUGUAAGUAAGAGGUACUAAUACCUGUAAUUUUGUAACAGAUAACAUUAUUGUUGUUAUCUUAGAUAUAACCUCUGUAUAACUUUUGUCAUGUUAGAGUCACAGCAUAAUAUGAACUUGCUUAACUCAGAGAUUGUUAAAAAUCUGGUAGUUAUUUUUAAUAAAUAUUUACUUAUUUUGUA
This is a long non-coding RNA of Diabrotica virgifera virgifera (western corn rootworm), 1318 nucleotides long. RefSeq lists it as uncharacterized. The record is from RefSeq and is a predicted model, not a curated record. NCBI's taxonomy places the organism in Eukaryota, Metazoa, Arthropoda, Insecta, Coleoptera, Chrysomelidae. The transcript has 2 exons.